AACGAACGCUGGCGGCAUGCCUAACACAUGCCAGUCGAACGAGACCUUCGGGUCUAGUGGCGCACGGGUGCGUAACGCGUGGGAACCUGCCCUUAGGUUCGGAAUAACUCCCCGAAAGGGGUGCUAAUACCGGAUAAUGUCUUCGGACCAAAGAUUUGUCGCCUUUGGAUGGGCCCGCGUUGGAUUAGCUAGUUGGUAGGGUAAAAGCCUACCAAGGCGACGAUCCAUAGCUGGUCUGAGAGGAUGAUCAGCCACACUGGGACUGAGACACGGCCCAGACUCCUACGGGAGGCAGCAGUGGGGAAUAUUGGACAAUGGGCGAAAGCCUGAUCCAGCAAUGCCGCGUGAGUGAUGAAGGCCUUAGGGUUGUAAAGCUCUUUUACCCGGGAUGAUAAUGACAGUACCGGGAGAAUAAGCUCCGGCUAACUCCGU
RNAcentral lists this ribosomal RNA (432 nucleotides) under uncultured bacterium. RNAcentral's name for it is "partial 16S ribosomal RNA". It matches the Rfam family "Bacterial small subunit ribosomal RNA", at positions 29 to 506 of the family's 1533-position model. The record is from RNAcentral.